CAUUAAGUGGCUGAAAUAAGUUAAGCAUUGGUCUCUUAAACCAAAUUAUAGUAUAUUAACAAAUACUCUUAAUGA
RNAcentral lists this transfer RNA (75 nucleotides) under Dicranocephalus alticolus. RNAcentral describes it as "tRNA-Lys". It matches the Rfam family "tRNA". From Rfam's summary of the family: Transfer RNA (tRNA) molecules are approximately 80 nucleotides in length. Their secondary structure includes four short double-helical elements and three loops (D, anti-codon, and T loops). Lineage: Eukaryota; Metazoa; Arthropoda; Insecta; Hemiptera; Stenocephalidae. The record is from RNAcentral.